Molecule: ribosomal RNA, 2902 nt
Filed under: Escherichia coli
Lineage: Bacteria; Pseudomonadati; Pseudomonadota; Gammaproteobacteria; Enterobacterales; Enterobacteriaceae
Description: bacterial LSU rRNA
Rfam family: Bacterial large subunit ribosomal RNA
Source: RNAcentral
UUAAGCGACUAAGCGUACACGGUGGAUGCCCUGGCAGUCAGAGGCGAUGAAGGACGUGCUAAUCUGCGAUAAGCGUCGGUAAGGUGAUAUGAACCGUUAUAACCGGCGAUUUCCGAAUGGGGAAACCCAGUGUGAUUCGUCACACUAUCAUUAACUGAAUCCAUAGGUUAAUGAGGCGAACCGGGGGAACUGAAACAUCUAAGUACCCCGAGGAAAAGAAAUCAACCGAGAUUCCCCCAGUAGCGGCGAGCGAACGGGGAGCAGCCCAGAGCCUGAAUCAGUGUGUGUGUUAGUGGAAGCGUCUGGAAAGGCGUGCGAUACAGGGUGACAGCCCCGUACACAAAAAUGCACAUGCUGUGAGCUCGAUGAGUAGGGCGGGACACGUGGUAUCCUGUCUGAAUAUGGGGGGACCAUCCUCCAAGGCUAAAUACUCCUGACUGACCGAUAGUGAACCAGUACCGUGAGGGAAAGGCGAAAAGAACCCCGGCGAGGGGAGUGAAAAAGAACCUGAAACCGUGUACGUACAAGCAGUGGGAGCACGCUUAGGCGUGUGACUGCGUACCUUUUGUAUAAUGGGUCAGCGACUUAUAUUCUGUAGCAAGGUUAACCGAAUAGGGGAGCCGAAGGGAAACCGAGUCUUAACUGGGCGUUAAGUUGCAGGGUAUAGACCCGAAACCCGGUGAUCUAGCCAUGGGCAGGUUGAAGGUUGGGUAACACUAACUGGAGGACCGAACCGACUAAUGUUGAAAAAUUAGCGGAUGACUUGUGGCUGGGGGUGAAAGGCCAAUCAAACCGGGAGAUAGCUGGUUCUCCCCGAAAGCUAUUUAGGUAGCGCCUCGUGAAUUCAUCUCCGGGGGUAGAGCACUGUUUCGGCAAGGGGGUCAUCCCGACUUACCAACCCGAUGCAAACUGCGAAUACCGGAGAAUGUUAUCACGGGAGACACACGGCGGGUGCUAACGUCCGUCGUGAAGAGGGAAACAACCCAGACCGCCAGCUAAGGUCCCAAAGUCAUGGUUAAGUGGGAAACGAUGUGGGAAGGCCCAGACAGCCAGGAUGUUGGCUUAGAAGCAGCCAUCAUUUAAAGAAAGCGUAAUAGCUCACUGGUCGAGUCGGCCUGCGCGGAAGAUGUAACGGGGCUAAACCAUGCACCGAAGCUGCGGCAGCGACGCUUAUGCGUUGUUGGGUAGGGGAGCGUUCUGUAAGCCUGUGAAGGUGUACUGUGAGGUAUGCUGGAGGUAUCAGAAGUGCGAAUGCUGACAUAAGUAACGAUAAAGCGGGUGAAAAGCCCGCUCGCCGGAAGACCAAGGGUUCCUGUCCAACGUUAAUCGGGGCAGGGUGAGUCGACCCCUAAGGCGAGGCCGAAAGGCGUAGUCGAUGGGAAACAGGUUAAUAUUCCUGUACUUGGUGUUACUGCGAAGGGGGGACGGAGAAGGCUAUGUUGGCCGGGCGACGGUUGUCCCGGUUUAAGCGUGUAGGCUGGUUUUCCAGGCAAAUCCGGAAAAUCAAGGCUGAGGCGUGAUGACGAGGCACUACGGUGCUGAAGCAACAAAUGCCCUGCUUCCAGGAAAAGCCUCUAAGCAUCAGGUAACAUCAAAUCGUACCCCAAACCGACACAGGUGGUCAGGUAGAGAAUACCAAGGCGCUUGAGAGAACUCGGGUGAAGGAACUAGGCAAAAUGGUGCCGUAACUUCGGGAGAAGGCACGCUGAUAUGUAGGUGAAGCGACUUGCUCGUGGAGCUGAAAUCAGUCGAAGAUACCAGCUGGCUGCAACUGUUUAUUAAAAACACAGCACUGUGCAAACACGAAAGUGGACGUAUACGGUGUGACGCCUGCCCGGUGCCGGAAGGUUAAUUGAUGGGGUCAGCGCAAGCGAAGCUCUUGAUCGAAGCCCCGGUAAACGGCGGCCGUAACUAUAACGGUCCUAAGGUAGCGAAAUUCCUUGUCGGGUAAGUUCCGACCUGCACGAAUGGCGUAAUGAUGGCCAGGCUGUCUCCACCCGAGACUCAGUGAAAUUGAACUCGCUGUGAAGAUGCAGUGUACCCGCGGCAAGACGGAAAGACCCCGUGAACCUUUACUAUAGCUUGACACUGAACAUUGAGCCUUGAUGUGUAGGAUAGGUGGGAGGCUUGGAAGUGUGGACGCCAGUCUGCAUGGAGCCGACCUUGAAAUACCACCCUUUAAUGUUUGAUGUUCUAACGUUGACCCGUGAUCCGGGUUGCGGACAGUGUCUGGUGGGUAGUUUGACUGGGGCGGUCUCCUCCUAAAGAGUAACGGAGGAGCACGAAGGUUGGCUAAUCCUGGUCGGACAUCAGGAGGUUAGUGCAAUGGCAUAAGCCAGCUUGACUGCGAGCGUGACGGCGCGAGCAGGUGCGAAAGCAGGUCAUAGUGAUCCGGUGGUUCUGAAUGGAAGGGCCAUCGCUCAACGGAUAAAAGGUACUCCGGGGAUAACAGGCUGAUACCGCCCAAGAGUUCAUAUCGACGGCGGUGUUUGGCACCUCGAUGUCGGCUCAUCACAUCCUGGGGCUGAAGUAGGUCCCAAGGGUAUGGCUGUUCGCCAUUUAAAGUGGUACGCGAGCUGGGUUUAGAACGUCGUGAGACAGUUCGGUCCCUAUCUGCCGUGGGCGCUGGAGAACUGAGGGGGGCUGCUCCUAGUACGAGAGGACCGGAGUGGACGCAUCACUGGUGUUCGGGUUGUCAUGCCAAUGGCACUGCCCGGUAGCUAAAUGCGGAAGAGAUAAGUGCUGAAAGCAUCUAAGCACGAAACUUGCCCCGAGAUGAGUUCUCCCUGAGACUUUAAGUCUCCUGAAGGAACGUUGAAGACGACGACGUUGAUAGGCCGGGUGUGUAAGCGCAGCGAUGCGUUGAGCUAACCGGUACUAAUGAACCGUGAGGCUUAACCUU